GCAGCUACAUAACAUAGGGAAAAUAAGACAUGGAUUCUUGCGUCACUUCCGAUAAAGCUGGCAUGUGCGCCCCACUCUGAAACCCAAGCGAACCGGACACCAAACUCUAUAAAACCCACCGUAUAAAUCUCCAUUCCUCUCUCUCUCUCUCUCCUUCUGCACCGUCACAUGACGCGAAAACCUGCAACCCCCACUCCUCUCUCUCUCUGACACAAGGAAAUAAACAUAUAAAACAAAAGAAUACAGGUCAACUUACGCAGAGCGUGCUGCUAUGGAGUUAGAGAGAAAGUUAGAGAGAGAGGAGGGAAGACGAACUAACACAACAGUCGCAGCAACCUAGCUUAAAUCAGGCAAGUUUUUCUUUCCUGUACUUCCACUUGUGUUUGGAAAGAGAUGGGUUUCCAUUUUUGUUGAGGGAGAGGGAGAGGAGAAGAUGGAGGUCUCUUAGCAUGAAGAGAGACCAGAAACAAGGGAAGAUGGGAAAAUGUAAGGAUAAUACAGUGAUGGGGCUUCGGAUGAUCCAAUGUGGGCGGCAGACCGUCCAUGUUAUACAGCCGGACGGGCAGGUGAGGCAGUUCCCUCUCCCCAUUAAAGUCUCAAACCUCCUCCAACUCUACCCCCACCAUUUCCUCACCCACGCAUCAAAUAACACCACCAAACAAAGGAACACCACCAGUAGUGGCGGAGGGCCAAUGCUCCCCCUCGAUGCUCACUUGGAGAGCGGAAGCAUCUACAUACUUCUCCCCCUACCACGCCUCUUCCCCGCCCUCUCCCCCCCUUCCAACGAGCCACACCUCUGCUGCUGCGCCUGCUUCCUACCGCACUUCCAAUCCAACAGUGGCACUGGAGGCAUUGGGUUGAUAAAGUCUGAGCUCAAGCGCCACUGGCUCAGCGCCACCACCUCAUCCUCCAAGAUCUCACCUGAAGAACACUACGCUUCCGGCGUCGCCAGAAAGGACACCGCCGCUCCGUGCCAGCCGAGAAGGCUCUGGGAGCCCGCACUCGAUGUAAUCUCGGAGGAACGGGCACUCCUCUCCACCCGAGAAGAGGAAGAGGCAGCCGCUGCCAGAAGAGAGAAAGAGAGAAAGGAAAAAGCCGCCAAAGUAAAUAACAAUAAUAAUAAUGUAAAUAAUAAUACGGCUGCCACCGACACCACCACCACCACCACCACCACCACCACCACCAGCAGCAGCAGCAGCAGCAGCAGCAGCAGCAAGAAGCUGCCCGGCAAUGCCGCCGGAGAACAACAAGGCAGCGUUGUGUUUAAACUAGGGACUUAAAACUAGGCUUGGGCUUGGGCUUCAUUGUUAGACCUGGGCUUUGUUUACGUGUUGGGUCGGGUUACGUGCGUUAGGUGUCCACAUCAUUGUGAUGGAUGGGCCCGGGCUUGCACCUCAAUCGUGUCCUUCAGAUUGGUUGUACGGCCUCUCUCUCUCCAUCCAUCUUAUGAUUUCUUUUUCUUAAUGUUUUGAGAGAGAGAGAGAAGGAGACAGGAAUGGACACAGUCAUGUCAUGUCAUGUCAUGUCAUGGUCUUCACUCUCCACUGUGUAUAUCAUGCAUGUCGUCCUCAUAUAAUUGAAUUAUUAUUGUCCUUGUUAUUAUUAGAGAGUAGUUUAAUUUAAGCAGUUGUGUUCUUAAUUGGGAUGGUUUUGUUUCAAUGUUUGUUUUGUAUUGGGGAGGUUUGGUGAAAUAAUAAUAAAUAAUAUUGAUGGGGGAUCACAUGUGGGCACAUGGGGUUUUAAAAUCCGGACACAGCCCACAUGCCACAUGAUUGAGGAACC
This 1782-nucleotide long non-coding RNA is filed under the name Amborella trichopoda. RNAcentral describes it as "long non-coding RNA (ATRI_LNC002848)". The record is from RNAcentral. Lineage: Eukaryota; Viridiplantae; Streptophyta; Magnoliopsida; Amborellales; Amborellaceae.